RNAcentral lists this ribosomal RNA (244 nucleotides) under uncultured bacterium. RNAcentral describes it as "partial 16S ribosomal RNA". It matches the Rfam family "Bacterial small subunit ribosomal RNA", at positions 524 to 769 of the family's 1533-position model. The record is from RNAcentral.
AACGUAGGAGACAAACGUUAUCCGGAGUUACUGGGCGUAAAGGGCGUGUAGGUGGUUUCGUAAGUCUGGCGUGAAAUUUCUCGGCUUAACCGAGGCAGGUCGUCGGAUACUGCGGAACUUGAGGACGGUAGAGGCGUGUGGAAUUCCGGGUGUAGUGGUGAAAUGCGUAGAGAUCCGGAGGAACACCAGUGGCGAAGCGACACGCUGGCCGUACCUGACACUGAUGCGCGACAGCAUGGGGAGC